AGACCUACGGGGGGCAGCAGUAGGGAAUCUUCCACAAUGGACGAAAGUCUGAUGGAGCAACGCCGCGUGAGUGAAGAAGGGUUUCGGCUCGUAAAGCUCUGUUGGUAGUGAAGAAAAAUAGAGGUAGUAACUGGCCUUUAUUUGACGGUAAUUACUUAGAAAGUCACGGCUAACUACGUGCCAGCAGCCGCGGUAAUACGUGGGUGGCAAGCGUUGUCCGGAUUUAUUGGGCGUAAAGCGAGUGCAGGCGGUUCCAUAAGUCUGUUUUGGAAGCCUUUGUCUCAACCCGAGUAUUGAAUCCUAAA
Molecule: ribosomal RNA, 305 nt
Filed under: uncultured bacterium
Lineage: Bacteria
Description: bacterial SSU rRNA
Rfam family: Bacterial small subunit ribosomal RNA
Source: RNAcentral